UUCAGCACAAUGUGUAAUGGGCUAGUAGGAUGUUACAUGGCAUCAGUAAUGUAACAAGAAUCUAUUGAAUACGGUUGCAGGUCUUUAGGUCUUUAUUCACGAACGUUCUUAGGGGUCCCAGAACAUCUUUGCAAAUUGAUUCGCCACGAAGAAAUGGUCCAUGGAGCUGUACGAUGUUACACCGUAUCAGUAAUGUAAUAACAGUUCAUUAAUUACGCUGUAGAUCUUCAGGCCUUACUCACGGAAGUUCUUGGAUGACCUAGAAAUACAACCUGGAAAUUGGUGCUUUACAGAACAACGCUCCAUGGAGCGGUAGGAUGUUGCACCGUAUCCGCAUAUGUCUUCCAUCCUAGCUUUACUACGCUUUAGCCAUUACGCUCUCUUCAUGACGGUUCUUUCUUACUGCAGUGAGUAUGUUUCUUUUUUGCUCUUAUUACAUCAAAAUCAGAAACACUCAUCUUUUGCGCAUCACCUGAUUUCCGAAUAAAGUUUUAAAUAAAAUGUUUAUCCACCCUUCUGGCAAGUCUCAUACAUACAUAAAACAAACCGAGAUAAGAAACCAACGCUAAAGGUGAAAUUACUUCGCUACUAAUGAGGUUCUCAUUUUAGAUCAACUUAACAUGCCCGCAACAUUCCAUCGAGACAUGAGCAAAAAUAUUCCAAACUGUUCGUUCAAGAACAAACCAUAACUGGUUAGUUAAGCUGUCUCACGAGCCAUUCUUCUCCAAAGCAGACUCUAGAGUUCAAGCAGCCAGCAUCAAGCCAGCAGGUAUCCCCUGACAACCGCCGAAAAAGAAAUGUGAACCCCAGUUAGGGGAUGGCAUUCUUAAAAGUUUACGGGAGCAGCUUUCCCUUUCUUAUCCCAUCAUCACCGCGCACUUUCUGGUGAAGUUUGAGGAAAAAAGUUCCCCACCUCAACGGCUCUGUCAGCUCCGAAGCAUCAAACGAAGGGGCAAGUCAAUCCACAUCAUCCAUCCGUCCGUUUGUCGUCGAGGUCGAGUCAAGCGACGACAGUUUCAAGUUGUGUAUGUUGUUUUUGCCUUCGACCAGCAGCAGCUGCUCCACCGAAAUCUUCAAAAGUGGCCCUUUUUUCCUAGACUCUCUUGAUGCAGCAUCAGUCAGACAUCUUGAAGGUAGAUACCGGAGUUCCACCCACGCCGACCAACAGCCCUCCGUAUGAAGUCUUUCCCAAAAACUUGUUGAGCUCGAACGAAUGCACUCCGACCACUCCGACUGACCCUUUAUGAACUGUUGAUGCCUGAACAAGUUCCCUCCGAGAGAUGAGAUGAGAUGGUUGAUGGAUAGCCACCACGUGCUUUACUCUAAAGAAGUACGGCAUGUACUGGUCCACGUAUGAACGGUCGUUACCCUCUCAUUCAGACUGUUUUUGUGGGCUUCAAACCAACCGAGUUCAACAGGUUGGUUGUAUGGCUGACGUGUGUCGUGGAGCCAUGCAUACUCUACUUACAAAUGGGCGCACAGAGGAAAACCCGUCCUAGACCCAACAUAAUAAAGAGCCUAGGUAUAUUGGAUUAAACAAAAUAAACAUGGUAUUAUUCAGAAUUUUUCUGAUACAAAUCGA
Aedes albopictus (Asian tiger mosquito) is the source of this 1582-nucleotide long non-coding RNA. RefSeq lists it as uncharacterized. NCBI's taxonomy places the organism in Eukaryota, Metazoa, Arthropoda, Insecta, Diptera, Culicidae. The transcript is spliced from 2 exons. The record is from RefSeq and is a predicted model, not a curated record.